Molecule: small RNA, 482 nt
Filed under: Arabidopsis thaliana (thale cress)
Lineage: Eukaryota; Viridiplantae; Streptophyta; Magnoliopsida; Brassicales; Brassicaceae
Description: ATSL210450
Source: RNAcentral
UUUUGUAAUAAAUUCAAAACAGUUUUAAAGAACAUCAUGUGGUUUUUGCGCUAAAUACAAAUGUCUCAUUGUUUUUUUUUUUGGAAAUUAAUAUCCCAUUAAUAUUUAAUUCUUAAGUUUAUUAACAGGUUUUAGUUCAGGAUUUGUUUUACUAAAAACAUAGUUUAGGGUUUAAAAAUGGAUCUGGCCAAAAUUGAGGGUUUUUUUCAUUAAAUUCCCAUUAAGAGUGGGAUUGAUGUAUGGUUUAAUGCAAUGUGAGAAUUUUAAUUUUUCAUCACUAACUUUUAUUAAUUUUUAAAUAAUUUAAAUUUAGAAUAAUAUGUGGCUCUCUCUACUGUAAUAAUGUGUCAUUAAUAUGGAGAGAGUUGGCCAACUUUCAUGUAUAUGAUUCGACUCCAAUAAAUCGUGUUAUCAUGCAUUAUAGGGAUUGAUGAUAGGUUGGAAUUUGUCAAUCCAAUUGUUGUAUAAAAACAAAAAGAAAA